AAACUGAAGCUUGAAAUUAUUAUUAGUACGGUCUUAAUUAUUAUGAACUAAACGGUUAUACAGGUUUUUUGCAACAAGAGCAAAAAGAGUGGUCGCCGAUUUAUGAGGAAUUUACGAAAGGAUUCGUCCGAAAGUUUUGAAGGAGUGGAUAAGGAAACAAACCAGGAGAUCAAUGAAGUUGGAGAGGCCACAGCUAAACCAAUUCAAUCAUUUCAAGCCCAAAAGGAUACUCCUUCAAUAAAAAAGGUUUUGCAACAAGAGCAAAAUGUGUGUUCGCCGAUCCAUGAGUAAUUUACGAAAGGAUCUAUCCGAAAGUUUUGAAGGAAUGCAUAAGGAAACAGACCAGGAGAUCAAUGAAGUUCGAGAGGCUACAAGUUCUAGGUAGGGUCGACCUCUGCUUCUCGUGGCUGAUUGUGCGAGAGUUGCUGCUGAGAGUCUUACAGGGUGAGCACGAGGACGUCCGCUGCCUUGGAGAUUCUUUCCUUAUGCUAUGUCUUAUUUUGAUAUUCCGAGACAUAUUCAGACUUUGAUGUAUUAUUGAUAUUUUCAGACUCGUAGAUGUUAGUUAGUUGCUCUUGUAUGACUAGACAGAUUUCUGGAAUGGUUGUUGUAUUUCCGCAUAUUCUAUCUAUUAUUAUGUCAGACUUACGUAUUC
Long non-coding RNA from Lycium ferocissimum, 655 nucleotides. RefSeq lists it as uncharacterized. Lineage: Eukaryota; Viridiplantae; Streptophyta; Magnoliopsida; Solanales; Solanaceae. The record is from RefSeq and is a predicted model, not a curated record. The transcript has 4 exons.